Molecule: ribosomal RNA, 354 nt
Filed under: Eukaryota sp.
Lineage: Eukaryota
Description: SSU rRNA
Rfam family: Eukaryotic small subunit ribosomal RNA
Source: RNAcentral
GCGUUAACGAACGAGACCUUAUCCUGCUAAAUAGUCCUGUGAACACUUGUUCACAGUCUGACUUCUUAGAGGGACUUUCGGCGACUAGCCGAAGGAAGUUUGAGGCAAUAACAGGUCUGUGAUGCCCUUAGAUGUCCUGGGCUGCACGCGCGCUACACUGACGAAGCCAGCGAGUUUAUAACCUUGGCCGGAAGGUCUGGGUAAUCUUGUGAAACUUCGUCGUGCUGGGGAUAGACCAUUGCAAUUAUUGGUCUUCAACGAGGAAUUCCUAGUAAGCGUGAGUCAUCAGCUCGCGUUGAUUACGUCCCUGCCCUUUGUACACACCGCCCGUCGCUAAUACCGAUUGAAUGGAUA